This is a long non-coding RNA of Oncorhynchus keta (chum salmon), 237 nucleotides long. RefSeq lists it as uncharacterized. NCBI's taxonomy places the organism in Eukaryota, Metazoa, Chordata, Actinopteri, Salmoniformes, Salmonidae. The record is from RefSeq and is a predicted model, not a curated record. The transcript has 3 exons.
UCCAGGGCUGUGUUGGGACAGGAAGACUCUAGGUAGAGGUCCGUGUGUGUGUGUGUGUGUGUGUUACCUCCAGGGCUGUGUUGGGACAGGAAGACUCUAGGUAGAGGUCCGUGUGUGUGUGUGUGUGUUACCUCCAGGGCUGUGUUGGGACAGGAAGACUCUAGGUAGAGGUCCGUGUGUGUGUGUGUUACCUCCAGGGCUGUGUUGGGACAGGAAGACUCUAGGUAGAGGUCCGUG